GGGGGCGUAGCUCAUCUGGUAGAGCGCGACAUUCGCAUUGUCGAGGUAGUGAGUUCGAGUCUCAUCGUCUCCACCA
This 76-nucleotide transfer RNA is filed under the name Opitutales bacterium. RNAcentral's name for it is "tRNA-Ala". It matches the Rfam family "tRNA". From Rfam's summary of the family: Transfer RNA (tRNA) molecules are approximately 80 nucleotides in length. Their secondary structure includes four short double-helical elements and three loops (D, anti-codon, and T loops). Lineage: Bacteria; Pseudomonadati; Verrucomicrobiota; Opitutia; Opitutales. The record is from RNAcentral. RNAcentral also lists the same sequence under 3 other names.